RNAcentral lists this ribosomal RNA (500 nucleotides) under uncultured Glomeromycotina. Its description in RNAcentral is "partial small subunit ribosomal RNA". It matches the Rfam family "Eukaryotic small subunit ribosomal RNA", at positions 591 to 1092 of the family's 1831-position model. Lineage: Eukaryota; Fungi; Glomeromycota. The record is from RNAcentral.
CCAAUAGCGUAUAUUAAAGUUGUUGCAGUUAAAAAGCUCGUAGUUGAAUUUCGGGAUCAAUACACUGGUCGUGCCUCCGGUAUGUACUGGCGUUAUUGAUUCCUCUCUUCUGAUGAACCAUGAUGUCAUUAAUUUGGUGUUGUGGGGAGUCAGGACUGUUACUUUGAAAAAAUUAGAGUGUUUAAAGCGGGCUAAUGCUUGAAUACAUUAGCAUGGAAUAAUGAAAUAGUACGUUCGAACCUAUUUUGUUGGUUUCUAGGAUCAACGUAAUGAUUAAUAGGGAUAGUUGGGGGCAUUAGUAUUCAAUUGUCAGAGGUGAAAUUCUUGGAUUUAUUGAAGACUAACUACUGCGAAAGCAUUUGCCAAGGAUGUUUUCAUUAAUCAAGAACGAAAGUUAGGGGAUCGAAGACGAUCAGAUACCGUCGUAGUCUUAACCAUAAACUAUGCCGACUAGGGAUCGGAUGAUGUUAAUUUUUUAAUGACUCAUUCGGCGCCUUACG